AUUGAACGCUGGCGGCAUGCUUUACACAUGCAAGUCGAACGGUAACAGGCCGCACGGUGCUGACGAGUGGCGAACGGGUGAGUAAUGCAUCGGAACGUGCCCAGUCGUGGGGGAUAACUACUCGAAAGAGUAGCUAAUACCGCAUACGAUCUAUGGAUGAAAGCGGGGGACCGUAAGGCCUCGCGCGAUUGGAGCGGCCGAUGUCAGAUUAGGUAGUUGGUGGGGUAAAGGCUCACCAAUCCAACGAUCUGUAGCCGGUCUGAGUGGACGACCAGCCACACUAGGUCUAAGACACCGCCGAGACUCCUUGGGGAUGCACCAGUGUGGAACUUAGGACACUGGGCGCAAGCCUGACCCAGCAAUCCCGCGUGCAGGGAGUGCGCUUACGCUUAGGAGACUGUUUUUGUGCGGAACAAAAGCCCUGCGCUUAAUACCCGAUGCUAAUGACGGCACCGUGAGAAUAAUCAGCGGCUAACUACGUG
This 482-nucleotide ribosomal RNA is filed under the name uncultured bacterium. RNAcentral's name for it is "partial 16S ribosomal RNA". It matches the Rfam family "Bacterial small subunit ribosomal RNA", at positions 30 to 507 of the family's 1533-position model. The record is from RNAcentral.